RNAcentral lists this ribosomal RNA (497 nucleotides) under uncultured bacterium. RNAcentral describes it as "partial 16S ribosomal RNA". It matches the Rfam family "Bacterial small subunit ribosomal RNA", at positions 28 to 507 of the family's 1533-position model. The record is from RNAcentral.
GAUGAACGCUGGCGGCGUGCCUAAUACAUGCCAGUCGAGCGAACAGAUGAGGAGCUUGCUCCUCUGACGUUAGCGGCGGACGGGUGAGUAACACGUGGAUAACCUACCUAUAAGACUGGGAUAACUUCGGGAAACCGGAGCUAAUACCGGAUAAUAUAUUGAACCGCAUGGUUUAAUAGUGAAAGACGGUUUUGCUGUCACUUAUAGAUGGAUCCGCGCCGCAUUAGCUAGUUGGUAAGGUAACGGCUUACCAAGGCAACGAUGCGUAGCCGACCUGAGAGGGUGAUCGGCCACACUGGAACUGAGACACGGUCCAGACUCCUACGGGAGGCAGCAGUAGGGAAUCUUCCGCAAUGGGCGAAAGCUUGACGGAGCAACGCCGCGUGAGUGAUGAAGGUCUUCGGAUCGUAAAACUCUGUUAUUAGGGAAGAACAAAUGUGUAAGUAACUAUGCACGUCUUGACGGUACCUAAUCAGAAAGCCACGGCUAACUACGUG